This 682-nucleotide ribosomal RNA is filed under the name uncultured Streptococcaceae bacterium. RNAcentral's name for it is "bacterial SSU rRNA". It matches the Rfam family "Bacterial small subunit ribosomal RNA", at positions 44 to 709 of the family's 1533-position model. The record is from RNAcentral. Lineage: Bacteria; Bacillati; Bacillota; Bacilli; Lactobacillales; Streptococcaceae.
GUGCCUAAUACAUGCAAGUAGAACGCUGAGAACUGGUGCUUGCACCGGUUCAAGGAGUUGCGAACGGGUGAGUAACGCGUAGGUAACCUACCUCAUAGCGGGGGAUAACUAUUGGAAACGAUAGCUAAUACCGCAUAAGAGAGACUAACGCAUGUUAGUAAUUUAAAAGGGGCAAUUGCUCCACUAUGAGAUGGACCUGCGUUGUAUUAGCUAGUUGGUGAGGUAAAGGCUCACCAAGGCGACGAUACAUAGCCGACCUGAGAGGGUGAUCGGCCACACUGGGACUGAGACACGGCCCAGACUCCUACGGGAGGCAGCAGUAAGGAAUCUUCGGCAAUGGGGGCAACCCUGACCGAGCAACGCCGCGUGAGUGAAGAAGGUUUUCGGAUCGUAAAGCUCUGUUGUUAGAGAAGAAUGAUGGUGGGAGUGGAAAAUCCACCAAGUGACGGUAACUAACCAGAAAGGGACGGCUAACUACGUGCCAGCAGCCGCGGUAAUACGUAGGUCCCGAGCGUUGUCCGGAUUUAUUGGGCGUAAAGCGAGCGCAGGCGGUUUUUUAAGUCUGAAGUUAAAGGCAUUGGCUCAACCAAUGUACGCUUUGGAAACUGGAGAACUUGAGUGCAGAAGGGGAGAGUGGAAUUCCAUGUGUAGCGGUGAAAUGCGUAGAUAUAUGGAGGAACAC